Molecule: unclassified non-coding RNA, 309 nt
Organism: Erinaceus europaeus (western European hedgehog)
Lineage: Eukaryota; Metazoa; Chordata; Mammalia; Eulipotyphla; Erinaceidae
Gene: 7SK
Rfam family: 7SK RNA
About the family: 7SK was discovered as an abundant small nuclear RNA in the mid-70s but a possible function has only recently been suggested. Two independent studies have found that 7SK RNA binds the CDK9/cyclin T complex (known as elongation factor P-TEFb).
Source: Ensembl
GGAUGUGAAAGCAAUCUGACUGAGAUAUCUGUCACUCCAUUGAUCGCCAGGGUUGAUUCAGCUGAUCUGGCUGGCAAGGCGGGUCUCCCCUUCCUCCCUCACUGCUCCAUGUGCAUCCCUCUUGAAUCUGAGCACAUGGUCGAAGAGGACCGCCUUCCCUGAAUAGAGAGGGACUGGUCUUCCAUGGAGGGUAUAUGAGUAGCUACACUACCCUCCUAGAACCUCCAAACAAGCUCUCAAAGUCCAAAGUCUUUUACUAGGAGUGUUAUUAAGAUGUUAUUGAUUUUUAUCUCCUAUCCCAGCUGAGAU